GCCGGGCGUGGUGGUGCACGCCUGUAAUACCAGCUACUGGGUAGGCUGAGGCAUGGGAAUCGCUUGCACCUGGGAGGUGGAAGUUGCAGUGAGCCAAGAUCCUGUGACUGCACUCCAGCCCGGGUGACAGAGCCAGACUCUGUCUCAA
RNAcentral lists this non-coding RNA (148 nucleotides) under Gorilla gorilla gorilla (western lowland gorilla). Lineage: Eukaryota; Metazoa; Chordata; Mammalia; Primates; Hominidae. The record is from Rfam by way of RNAcentral.